Molecule: long non-coding RNA, 341 nt
Organism: Podarcis muralis (Common wall lizard)
Lineage: Eukaryota; Metazoa; Chordata; Lepidosauria; Squamata; Lacertidae
Source: RefSeq, a predicted model, not a curated record
GAAGAAGCGCCCGCGUCGUGUUUCCGCGGAGGAGCCGCGUCUCCAUGGAGACCUACGGGGCCUCGGAGGUAGGCGGAGCUAGAAGGCCGGAGGCGGCGCGGUCUCAGCAGUUAAGCAACUCUUCUACAGCAAGACUGGAUGGCUGCAGCAAACAGCAGAACUCCUUCCUGGUUGUCAUUCAGCUUACGUUUCUACACCAGAGUCAACAAACUGAGAUACUUUUCUGAAUGGCUAUCUUUCCAGUCUGUCAUGCUUUCCAGUUGCUGGCUAAGAGUCAGGAUCUCACCAUUUUUCCUGCUCACCUCAUGUGACACCUCUUCCAACUGAGCCUCACGGAGAUU